Molecule: long non-coding RNA, 103 nt
Organism: Lynx canadensis (Canada lynx)
Lineage: Eukaryota; Metazoa; Chordata; Mammalia; Carnivora; Felidae
Exons: 3
Source: RefSeq, a predicted model, not a curated record
UCCCAGGAGAUGUGUGGAGUAUGGACGUUGCUGUGGCUGAGCUCAAGAGGUUGUUGCCUGUUUUCUCCUCUAGGAUAGUGAUGGCUUUCUGUCUCACAUGUAG